UCUUUCCACUAGGGGUGCCUUGUGCUGAGAGGGAUGUUCGCAUCUCGACCCUUAGAACCUGAUCUAGUUCAUACUAGCGUAGGGAAGUGGUUUGUUAUGAUA
RNAcentral lists this non-coding RNA (102 nucleotides) under Bacillus sp. (in: firmicutes). RNAcentral describes it as "Bacillus sp. TPP sequence". It matches the Rfam family "TPP riboswitch aptamer (THI element)". Rfam says of the family: Vitamin B(1) in its active form thiamin pyrophosphate (TPP) is an essential coenzyme that is synthesised by coupling of pyrimidine and thiazole moieties in bacteria. The previously detected thiamin-regulatory element, thi box was extended, resulting in a new, highly conserved RNA secondary structure, the THI element, which is widely distributed in eubacteria and also occurs in some archaea. RNAcentral also lists the same sequence under 1 other name. Lineage: Bacteria; Bacillati; Bacillota; Bacilli; Caryophanales; Bacillaceae. The record is from RNAcentral.